Oryza sativa Japonica Group (Japanese rice) is the source of this 203-nucleotide microRNA precursor. It matches the Rfam family "MIR812 microRNA precursor family". The record is from Rfam. NCBI's taxonomy places the organism in Eukaryota, Viridiplantae, Streptophyta, Magnoliopsida, Poales, Poaceae.
UAAAAAAACAAACCCUGGUUUCCGUGUCCAACGUUUGACCGGCCGUUUUAUUUGAAAAAAUUAUGAAAAAAAUUAAAAAGAUAAGUCACGCAUAAAGUAUUAAUCAUAUUUUAUCAUUUAACAACAAUGAAAAUACUAUUUAUAAAAAAAUUUAUAAGACGGAUAGUCAAACGUUGGCACGGAAAUCCAGUAUUUGAUUUUUU